UCAGAGCCACAGAUGAUGGGACUGCAACAGGAACAGCUACGGUCACCGUGCCAAUUGGAGAUGUCACUGUCGGCCCUUUUACCACAACCACAAAAGAGUUGUGCGUAGCGGAUGGUUUAGGUCCAGGGGAAUCCGUUGGUGACGUUUCUGCUACCGGUGUCGCCUCAUAUGCGACCUCUGAUGCCACCUUUGAUGUUGAUUCAGCUACUGGAGCUGUGACAACGGCUUCCGGUGUUACUCUCGACAAGGCAACAAAAGCCGAGCAUACGGUCACCAUUACAGGCACGGGAAACGGCGGUGAAACCAAUGACCUUACACUAACGGUGAAAGUUGGUGACUGCAGCGGGA
This is a long non-coding RNA of Mya arenaria, 348 nucleotides long. RefSeq lists it as uncharacterized. The transcript is spliced from 3 exons. The record is from RefSeq and is a predicted model, not a curated record. NCBI's taxonomy places the organism in Eukaryota, Metazoa, Mollusca, Bivalvia, Myida, Myidae.